Molecule: non-coding RNA, 304 nt
Organism: Paramuricea clavata
Lineage: Eukaryota; Metazoa; Cnidaria; Anthozoa; Malacalcyonacea; Plexauridae
Source: the annotation of a GenBank genome assembly
CGAGACAGUGCUGAAUAUUGAGUAAAUCUUUGAGAUUCUUACGCAAUAUAUAAAUUGAUAUUAUGCAUUACGGGCAUUUAAUUAAGUGCCGAUAUUAUUUUGACGGUAUAUUCAUUAUACAGAGUUGGAAGCAUUUCAGACGUAAAUAUUGAGAAAAUCUUCGAGGUUCUACGCAAAUAUAUAAUUUGACAUUGUGCAUUAAUACGGGCAUUCAAUAAGUGCCGAUAUUAUUUAGACCGUAUCAUUAUAUACAGCGACUGUAUAAGGUGCUACAUCACAGAAUAUUAAUUGUUCUUGUAAAGUG